This is a non-coding RNA of Caerostris darwini, 112 nucleotides long. NCBI's taxonomy places the organism in Eukaryota, Metazoa, Arthropoda, Arachnida, Araneae, Araneidae. The record is from the annotation of a GenBank genome assembly.
AACGGCCAUACCAUGCUGAAUAUACCGGUUCUCGUUAGAUCACCGAAGUCAAGCAUCAUUGGGCGCGGUCAGUACUUGGGUGGGUGACCACCUGGGAACACCGCGUGCUGUU